RNAcentral lists this ribosomal RNA (2902 nucleotides) under Klebsiella pneumoniae. Its description in RNAcentral is "23S ribosomal RNA". It matches the Rfam family "Bacterial large subunit ribosomal RNA". The record is from RNAcentral. Lineage: Bacteria; Pseudomonadati; Pseudomonadota; Gammaproteobacteria; Enterobacterales; Enterobacteriaceae.
GGUUAAGCGACUAAGCGUACACGGUGGAUGCCCUGGCAGUCAGAGGCGAUGAAGGACGUGCUAAUCUGCGAAAAGCGUCGGUAAGGUGAUAUGAACCGUUAUAACCGGCGAUGUCCGAAUGGGGAAACCCAGUGCAAUUCGUUGCACUAUCGUUAACUGAAUACAUAGGUUAACGAGGCGAACCGGGGGAACUGAAACAUCUAAGUACCCCGAGGAAAAGAAAUCAACCGAGAUUCCCCCAGUAGCGGCGAGCGAACGGGGAGCAGCCCAGAGUCUGAAUCAGCUUGUGUGUUAGUGGAACGGUCUGGAAAGUCCGACGGUACAGGGUGAUAGUCCCGUACACCAAAAUGCACAGGCUGUGAACUCGAAGAGUAGGGCGGGACACGUGGUAUCCUGUCUGAAUAUGGGGGGACCAUCCUCCAAGGCUAAAUACUCCUGACUGACCGAUAGUGAACCAGUACCGUGAGGGAAAGGCGAAAAGAACCCCGGCGAGGGGAGUGAAAAAGAACCUGAAACCGUGUACGUACAAGCAGUGGGAGCACCUUCGGGUGUGACUGCGUACCUUUUGUAUAAUGGGUCAGCGACUUAUAUUCUGUAGCAAGGUUAACCGUAUAGGGGAGCCGCAGGGAAACCGAGUCUUAACUGGGCGUUAAGUUGCAGGGUAUAGACCCGAAACCCGGUGAUCUAGCCAUGGGCAGGUUGAAGGUUGGGUAACACUAACUGGAGGACCGAACCGACUAAUGUUGAAAAAUUAGCGGAUGACUUGUGGCUGGGGGUGAAAGGCCAAUCAAACCGGGAGAUAGCUGGUUCUCCCCGAAAGCUAUUUAGGUAGCGCCUCGUGAACUCAUCUUCGGGGGUAGAGCACUGUUUCGGCUAGGGGGUCAUCCCGACUUACCAACCCGAUGCAAACUACGAAUACCGAAGAAUGUUAUCACGGGAGACACACGGCGGGUGCUAACGUCCGUCGUGAAGAGGGAAACAACCCAGACCGCCAGCUAAGGUCCCAAAGUCAUGGUUAAGUGGGAAACGAUGUGGGAAGGCACAGACAGCCAGGAUGUUGGCUUAGAAGCAGCCAUCAUUUAAAGAAAGCGUAAUAGCUCACUGGUCGAGUCGGCCUGCGCGGAAGAUGUAACGGGGCUAAACCAUGCACCGAAGCUGCGGCAGCGACACUAUGUGUUGUUGGGUAGGGGAGCGUUCUGUAAGCCUGCGAAGGUGACCUGUGAGGGUUGCUGGAGGUAUCAGAAGUGCGAAUGCUGACAUAAGUAACGAUAAAGCGGGUGAAAAGCCCGCUCGCCGGAAGACCAAGGGUUCCUGUCCAACGUUAAUCGGGGCAGGGUGAGUCGACCCCUAAGGCGAGGCCGAAAGGCGUAGUCGAUGGGAAACAGGUUAAUAUUCCUGUACUUGGUGUUACUGCGAAGGGGGGACGGAGAAGGCUAUGUUAGCCGGGCGACGGUUGUCCCGGUUUAAGCAUGUAGGCUGAUUGUCCAGGCAAAUCCGGAUAAUCAAGGCUGAGGUGUGAUGACGAGGCACUACGGUGCUGAAGUAACAAAUGCCCUGCUUCCAGGAAAAGCCUCUAAGCAUCAGGUAACAUUAAAUCGUACCCCAAACCGACACAGGUGGUCAGGUAGAGAAUACCAAGGCGCUUGAGAGAACUCGGGUGAAGGAACUAGGCAAAAUGGUGCCGUAACUUCGGGAGAAGGCACGCUGGUGUGUAGGUGAAGUCCCUGCGGAUGGAGCUGAGACCAGUCGAAGAUACCAGCUGGCUGCAACUGUUUAUUAAAAACACAGCACUGUGCAAACACGAAAGUGGACGUAUACGGUGUGACGCCUGCCCGGUGCCGGAAGGUUAAUUGAUGGGGUUAUCCGUAAGGAGAAGCUCUUGAUCGAAGCCCCGGUAAACGGCGGCCGUAACUAUAACGGUCCUAAGGUAGCGAAAUUCCUUGUCGGGUAAGUUCCGACCUGCACGAAUGGCGUAAUGAUGGCCAGGCUGUCUCCACCCGAGACUCAGUGAAAUUGAACUCGCUGUGAAGAUGCAGUGUACCCGCGGCAAGACGGAAAGACCCCGUGAACCUUUACUAUAGCUUGACACUGAACAUUGAGCCUUGAUGUGUAGGAUAGGUGGGAGGCUUUGAAGCGUGGACGCCAGUCUGCGUGGAGCCAACCUUGAAAUACCACCCUUUAAUGUUUGAUGUUCUAACGUUGGCCCCUGACCGGGGUUGCGGACAGUGUCUGGUGGGUAGUUUGACUGGGGCGGUCUCCUCCCAAAGCGUAACGGAGGAGCACGAAGGUUAGCUAAUCCUGGUCGGACAUCAGGAGGUUAGUGCAAUGGCAUAAGCUAGCUUGACUGCGAGCGUGACGGCGCGAGCAGGUGCGAAAGCAGGUCAUAGUGAUCCGGUGGUUCUGAAUGGAAGGGCCAUCGCUCAACGGAUAAAAGGUACUCCGGGGAUAACAGGCUGAUACCGCCCAAGAGUUCAUAUCGACGGCGGUGUUUGGCACCUCGAUGUCGGCUCAUCACAUCCUGGGGCUGAAGUAGGUCCCAAGGGUAUGGCUGUUCGCCAUUUAAAGUGGUACGCGAGCUGGGUUUAGAACGUCGUGAGACAGUUCGGUCCCUAUCUGCCGUGGGCGCUGGAGAAUUGAGGGGGGCUGCUCCUAGUACGAGAGGACCGGAGUGGACGCAUCACUGGUGUUCGGGUUGUCAUGCCAAUGGCACUGCCCGGUAGCUAAAUGCGGAAGAGAUAAGUGCUGAAAGCAUCUAAGCACGAAACUUGCCCCGAGAUGAGUUCUCCCUGAGACUUUAAGUCUCCUGAAGGAACGUUGAAGACGACGACGUUGAUAGGCCGGGUGUGUAAGCGCAGCGAUGCGUUGAGCUAACCGGUACUAAUGAACCGUGAGGCUUAACCUU